This 26-nucleotide non-coding RNA is filed under the name Homo sapiens (human). The record is from RNAcentral. Lineage: Eukaryota; Metazoa; Chordata; Mammalia; Primates; Hominidae.
UGAGGUGAUAUCAGACUUGGUAUUUU